UGAGUUGUAAUGACGGUACCUGAGUAGAAAGCCACGGCUAACUACGUGCCAGCAGCCGCGGUAAUACGUAGGUGGCAAGCGUUGCCCGGAAUUAUUGGGCGUAAAGCGCGCGCAGGUGGGAUAUUAAGUCUGGUGUUAAAGUUCGGGGCUCAACCCCGUGAAGCAUUUGGAAACUGAUAUUCUUGAGUGCAGGAGAGGAAAGUGGAAUUCCUAGUGUAGCGGUGAAAUGCGUAGAUAUUAGGAGGAACACCAGUGGCGAAGGCGACUUUCUGGACUGUGUCUGACACUGAGGCGCGAAAGCUAGGGUAGUGAACAGGAUUAGAUACCCUGGUAAUCCUAGCUGUAAACGAUGGGUACUAGGUGUUGGGGGUAUCGACCCCUCCAGUGCCGGAGUUAACGCAAUAAGUACUCCGCCUGGGGAGUACGGCCGCAAGGUUGAA
Molecule: ribosomal RNA, 440 nt
Filed under: uncultured bacterium
Lineage: Bacteria
Description: bacterial SSU rRNA
Rfam family: Bacterial small subunit ribosomal RNA
Source: RNAcentral